This 496-nucleotide ribosomal RNA is filed under the name fungal endophyte. RNAcentral describes it as "eukaryotic LSU rRNA". The stretch from base 106 to 258 matches the Rfam family "5.8S ribosomal RNA". Lineage: Eukaryota; Fungi. The record is from RNAcentral.
CCAACCCUUGAUUAUCCAUUUCUGUUGCUUGUGGCGGGUCUCCCAUCCGGAGCUCGCCAGACGAUUUCUUCUAUCCCUCUGUCAGAGACCAACACCAAUCCUUAAAACUUUCAGCAAUGGAUUUUUAGGUACCCGGUUCGAUGAAGAUCGGAGCAAAAUCCGAAAAGUAGUGUGAAUUGCAGAUUUCGCGAAUCAUCGAAUUAUCGAACGCAUAUUGCGCCCCACGGUAUUCCGUGGAGCAUGCCUGUUUGAGCGUCAUUACACCACAACAAGCCCGGCUUGAUGUUGAGGACUGGCGCGAGCCAUCCUCCAAUGACCUGAUGAAGAUUGUCCGUACACUUCUCGGCCGCGAUGACUCGCACUUCGAGAACUACUGGCUCUCAUCAUUCCAUCAUACCUUUCCGGUUGACCUCAGAUCAGGUAGGAAGACCCGCUGAACUUAAGCAUAUCAAUAAGCGGAGAGAAAAGAAAACAACAGUGAUUGGUCUAGUAACGG